UACGUAGGGGGCUAGCGUUGUCCGGAAUCAUUGGGCGUAAAGAGCGUGUAGGCGGUCCGGUACGUCCGCUGUGAAAGUCGGGGGCUCAACCCUCGAAUGCCGGUGGAUACUGUCGGGCUAGAGUGCGGAAGAGGCGAGUGGAAUUCCUGGUGUAGCGGUGAAAUGCGCAGAUAUCAGGAGGAACACCUAUUGCGAAGGCAGCUCGCUGGGACGUAACUGACGCUGAGACGCGAAAGCGUGGGGAGCGAACCGG
RNAcentral lists this ribosomal RNA (253 nucleotides) under uncultured bacterium. RNAcentral describes it as "partial 16S ribosomal RNA". It matches the Rfam family "Bacterial small subunit ribosomal RNA", at positions 524 to 776 of the family's 1533-position model. The record is from RNAcentral.